Molecule: transfer RNA, 76 nt
Filed under: Chloroflexota bacterium
Lineage: Bacteria; Bacillati; Chloroflexota
Description: Chloroflexi bacterium (sediment metagenome) tRNA-Phe
Rfam family: tRNA
About the family: Transfer RNA (tRNA) molecules are approximately 80 nucleotides in length. Their secondary structure includes four short double-helical elements and three loops (D, anti-codon, and T loops).
Source: RNAcentral
GCCGAGGUAGCUCAGUUGGUAGAGCACGCGACUGAAAAUCGCGGUGUCCGCAGUUCGAUCCUGCGCCUCGGCACUA